AACAUCGCGCACCUGCGGGAACCUGCGGAGGGAUCAUUACUGAGUCUAACAAACUCCCAAACCCCUGUGAACAUACCUACUGUUGCUUCGGCGGGACCGCCCCGGGCGCCUUCGCGGUGCCCCGGAACCAGGCGCCCGCCGGGGACAUCAAACUCUUGAUUGUUAUAGUGGCAUUCUCUGAGUAAAACAUACAAAUAAGUCAAAACUUUCAACAAUGGAUCUCAGAUCGGAAGAGCACAC
Molecule: unclassified non-coding RNA, 240 nt
Filed under: soil metagenome
Description: partial contains 5.8S ribosomal RNA, internal transcribed spacer 2, and large subunit ribosomal RNA
Source: RNAcentral